GAGAGAGAGAGAGAGAAAGAAAGGCGGGCGCUCUUCCGCUCGCCCUUAGCAGCCCAGCCGGCCUUCAGCAGCGGCAAGGAGGAGGAACGCGACUCUAGCCAGACGGCGGCGGCCAGCGAAGCAGCCGGCGGAGGGCGUUGCUUCGGGACGCGCUCAAAAAACUCCGCGGCCUGUGCUUAAGCCGCACGUUCUCCGCACCAAUGGCUCCCCGGGCGCCAGUCACGCACUUAGGGGACGAGGCGGCGGGAAGGCUCCCCCUCUCUCUCUCGGCAGCCCCAGUUUAACGCCGGUGGGCGCCCUGCGGAGGCUUUAUAAGAGAGGAGAAGCCAGCCGAAGCUAAGCUAUGUCAGAAUGCAGUUACGUGGAUGAUAGUGGGAAAAUUGGCGAUAUACCCAGAUAACACUACUACUAAGUGAGCUGCACCAGUUUCCAAUAGACUUCAAGAUACAAUCAAUGUGUCGGUUCUCACCUUUGUGCCACGGGACCGGAUUACCUGUUCCUUCAUGGUUUCUGCCUUUCCACUAGGUUUCCUUGAUGAAACAGCAUCACCUUGUGUGGCCCUGGAAAUGUCCUUCCCUGUCAUGCAAUAGCCUCCCCUCCCUCCAGAUAUACGGAAGGACUCAACCUUGUUGGCCUACAGCAAGAGUGUCAAACUCACAUUUUCACGGCGGCGUCACGUGACAUAUUGGGACUUUUUCCCCCUUCGCUAAACCAGGCAUGGGCGUGGUCAGUGUGUGACACAUCCGGCCCAUGGGCCGGGAGUUUGACAUUCCUGGCCUACAGAAACAAGGAUAUUGAUGGAACUAGUGGUUGUGGUUGUGCUUGAUUGGCAGAUGCAAGUUUUACUGGGACUUCAACUUUAUUUAUUGUUCAUGUGGCUUUAUGUUCUAAUUACAUUGUUAGCCACCUAGAGUUCCUUGUGAUAGGUGAGCAGCCAUAUAAGUUUAUUAAAUAGAUAAAUACAUAAAUACUCACUAUUUUUGACCAUGGAGAAAUGUCCUAUUUAAUCCCAUAAUAGAAAUACUUCUUUGAUGAAAUAUGAGAUCUCAAAUAUAGAGUAAGAAAUAUUCCUUCAUUAAAAAAGUAUGCAUGGGAAAGGUCUUAAUAAUAAAAAGACUAGCUACUGCACUGUGUUACCCUUUAAGGCAGGGGUGUCAAACUCACAUUGUCACAUGACAUAUUGCAACUUUUUUCCCCUUCACUAAACCAGGCAUGAGUGUGGCCAGCGUGUGACGCAUCCGGGCCACGGGCCGUGAGUUUGACAGCCCUGCUUUAAGGGAUAAUGGACUACUAGAUGUGCUUCCCUUCUCCUAUUUUAUUAUGUUAUGGAAAAAACUUACAUGGAGAGAGCUAGUUGAGUUAUUUAUUGUUGCAGAUGAAAUGAAGCAUUAGCCAAAACUGAAGGGAACCUGAUUCACUGUGAUUAAUUGGACGUAUGAUUGAUUAGUCUUUUGCUUUCCCCAAACAGAGUCAAUCAUUAUAAAUCUGAGGUAUUUUAUGCAUGUCCAUAAAAUCUAUUUUAACAUGAUACAAUUAGCUAUCAUUAACUUAAUCAUUGUGAAAUUUUCUGAGUUUGUGUAAUGCACUGAACCAUAAACUUAAGCACAUGUGUUAGGUUUGCACAACAUGGUUCCCUAAAAUGAGAUUGGACAGAUUGUUGUUCAUUGUGUUUUGUAAACACAGACCAAGUUUGAGAGUGGGGGUGCUCCUGUGGAAUUGUGUAUAUGAAACAAUAUUCUUCAGAAAGAGUGUUCCAGUUUCCAAGUUAGUCAGAUAUCAAGGUUAUGUUAGAAAAACUGUUGAAAAACUUCAAUGCACCCUGAAAUACUGUAUUGACACUAGCUAACUUUUUCAAGGACUUUCAUAGCAACUAAAAAGCAAAAGCUUAAAAUAGUACCCAGCUAUUUCAUUAGAAUAAAAAACUAAAGCCAGUUUUGAAUCAGUAAGCCUGGUUUAUCAGAUCUGGCAAUUUGAGCUCUAGACAACCUGAUAAAGUUUGAUAAAUAAAUUUUCACUUGGAGUUCUAUAUAAAAUGCAGUAAUUUAACAAACAUACUGCUUUGUGUGGAGUAAUUGCUAUAUGCAACUAAAAUAAUUACUUAAUCAGAAUUGAAUUAUGUUCUGGCUGCAAGAAAUGGCAAAAGCUACAAGAAAUCAAUCUGAUUUUUUUCAGCUUAAUGCCUAAAUACACUGAGGAAUGUAUUAUUAAUGAAAAAGUCCAAGUUAUUACAAUUUAAAACACACCCAAGAGAACCGGACAUUAAUUUUUUCCCUUCUAAAUCAGGAUCUUCGACUUCUGUUUUAUUUAAUAAUGCUAUCAGCUCUUGUGACUGGCUACAACCAAGACAGGUUUUAUGCCCUUUGCCUUUUAGUGACCUCCAUAACAAUAGAACUGGGGCCCAUCAGCAUCAAUGCUAGGAGCCCUAUAGAAUCCGAGAUUCUCACAACAAUCACAUUGCAUCAUCUCAGUACAUCAGUAUGAUAUCCAGAGUAUAAACUGCAAAUCCAGACCACUGAAGUAUGGCAGUAGAGAUACGGGAAACUAUUUGUGCUGCCAUCUUGUGGUCAUCCAUAUUUUUGCAACCCAGUUCUGUUACCUUUAGCCCAUACACUACAUGUAUGUGCUUCAAAAAUUGUUCAAAAAAAGUGCUUCUCCUUGAAUUUUGUCAUAUUCAUUGUAACUGUUUAUCUUUUUUUCUACCUGCUUUGCAAGCCUGAAACAAAAAAAAGUGCUGGUGCUUUAAGAUGUCAGUUCAUUAAGGUUAAUAUAAUUCUUAAAUGAGCCACGUCAUUUCACAUCAUUUCUGUAAAAUUGUGGGGCUUUUUAAAUAAAAGACCUGAGAGAAGUGCUAUGCUCACCUGAAUUCUGGAGCACAUUUUUUGAAUUGUUUUCAAAGAUUCACAACCAUAAUAUGGGUGUAGUAUAGGAAUACUUAGAUAACAAAGCUCAUCUAAUGCCUUUGCUUUUUAUUCAAGAAAAAAGCAACCCUGAAUUGUGAGACUCUUUUACAAUAGUGCAUAGUUAAUGUGCCAGGAGAUAAAUUGUUACUUGAAAAUCCAUUCAGUUCAAUUGUUGGCAAUGUAGUAUAUAUUAUUGUUUUGCACACAAACUUAUAAGACAAGACUCAGAUUGACAUUCUAAAUGCACAUGCAUUGCUCAGAAAAUAUUCCACAAUGACAUAUGAGGUAAUGUAUACACUAUAUAUGCUGCAGGUAGUGCAGCUACAUUUGUGACAGAGGAAAGACAUAACAGUUUUGCAUUCAGAUAUGCUGCCUUAACAUCAUCACUGAGUAUUGCAAAAAUUCCUCACAGCCUUUGAGUAUUAUAUUCCAAAAUAAUUGUCAUAAAAAUAACUUAAUUGAUGAUCUCAGUACAGCCUCUAAUGAGUAAGAAUAAAUCAUUUCUCAAAAGCAAUCAUACAAGCUAGAAGAAAAUCCUUUUGGAUACAGGCAAGUACUUUGACUGGGGCAAUUCACAGAGUCACAACUUUACUUCAGGCACAAACGUUUUGCUCAGCUUUGGUAGGUAGCCCAGUUGUACUGCCAGCAUCCAGUCAUCCAUCCUUCCAUAAUUUCUUUUCUUUCUUUUUUUUUUCAAACAACUCAGGUAGGCUUCUCAAACUACUAAUUCUUUUGAAGAUUGGCUUGGCAGUCACUCCCUCUUAGGAAGUUUUAGUUACAGAAUUAAUAUAAAUAAACAUGUUUUAGAUUUUCUGUUUAAUUUUAGUCUGUCCUUAGGGAGAAAUGUCAUUUAAUAAUUUUGGAUUUAUCAAUUUCUUUAUUGUUCAUUUUAAUGAAGGAUCACGAAGGAUUUAAUUUAAAUCAAGUGCUUUCAAAAAUCAAAUGAAAACCUGAAAAAUUUGUGUGUAUAUAUAAAUCUGAUAUAUAUCUUGAUUGAUUGAUAUAAUCUAGCCUGAAAAAUAAAAUAUUUAUUAUGACUUUUA
This is a non-coding RNA of Pantherophis guttatus, 3943 nucleotides long. The record is from RefSeq and is a predicted model, not a curated record. Lineage: Eukaryota; Metazoa; Chordata; Lepidosauria; Squamata; Colubridae.